CGUAGGGCGCAAGCGUUGUCCGGAAUUAUUGGGCGUAAAGAGCUCGUAGGCGGUCUGUCGCGUCGGAUGUGAAAGCCCGGGGCUUAACCCCGGGUCUGCAUUCGAUACGGGCAGACUGGAGUGUGGUAGGGGAGAUCGGAAUUCCUGGUGUAGCGGUGAAAUGCGCAGAUAUCAGGAGGAACACCGGUGGCGAAGGCGGAUCUCUGGGCCAUUACUGACGCUGAGGAGCGAAAGCGCGGGGAGCGAACAGGAUUAGAUACCCUGGUAGUCCACGCCGUAAACGGUGGGAACUAGGUGUUGGCGACAUUCCACGUCGUCGGUGCCGCAGCUAACGCAUUAAGUUCCCCGCCUGGGGAGUACGGCCGCAAGGCUA
RNAcentral lists this ribosomal RNA (373 nucleotides) under uncultured organism. Its description in RNAcentral is "bacterial SSU rRNA". It matches the Rfam family "Bacterial small subunit ribosomal RNA", at positions 526 to 896 of the family's 1533-position model. The record is from RNAcentral.